GAAAAGAAAAUUAGUAUUUGCUCUUUACCAAUUACUUUAGCAGCCAUUAUUGGCGUCAUCGAAGGGACUGGAGUUAGUAUCAGAAAGAGAGAAAGAAACCGAUACGGCUAGAAUCAUCGGAGAUGGAAAAUGGAAAAAUGGGGUCCGACAACCGAUAUUUAAUAAGAUUUUUGAUAGGCUUAAUGUUAUUAUUAUUGUCAUGUACAAUCAAAGAGGCAAGUGCAUCGAUUCAUGAGUACAACGACGAAGCGUUUAUUCCACGCUCAAAUGCCUUCUUCUUUCAUGGCGGCAGUGAAGGACUUUAUGCCUCUAAAGUUCAUGAUUCCUCUUCUACUUCUCCUGAUAAGCCCUUUCAAGGAAAGUCUUUCAUCAGGUUUGAAGAUGUCACCUUUGUAAGGACAAAGUUGGCUGCGAGUAAGCAGCCCGCAAUGCAGCAAAGCACUGGAUUGGUGGAAGCUAUUAUAUUUGAGGUGAAAGAUAGAGAAAGGAUUGGAGGGGCUUUUCUAAAAACGAAUGCGAUUUGCUGUGACCCAACUCUUGCUCAAGCUGGGUCCUGUAAGCUAGGCGAGGUAAUUAUCCAGAAAGACCAAGACAAUCAAGAAUGGCCUAAACGCAUUCAGACAUCCUUUGCAGGAAAGGAUGAGGAAGCUAAAAUGAAGCCUGAAACUGUGGAAAUAAAUAGUACUGGAAUGUACUACCUCUAUUUCAUGUUUUGUAAUCCUGAACUUCAGGGCACUUUGAUUAAGGGGAGGACUGUAUGGAAGAACCCUAAUGGUUAUUUACCAGGGAAGAUGACUCCUCUGAUGACAUUUUAUGGCAUUAUGUCUUUGGCUUACCUUGCAUUAGGACUGAUUUGGUUCUUAAGGUUUGUUCAAUUCUGGAAGGAUGUUAUACAGCUGCAUUACCACAUCACAGCUGUUAUAGCACUUGGAAUGUGUGAAAUGGCUGUUUGGUAUUUUGAAUAUGCCAAUUUUAAUUCAACCGGAUCAAGGCCGAUGGGUGUUACAUUAUGGGCUGUGACCUUUAGCACUGUCAAGAAGACUCUAUCUCGCCUUCUCCUGUUGGUUGUCUCCAUGGGCUUUGGCGUAGUAAAGCCAACCCUUGGUGGCAUAACAUCAAAAGUACUUCUUCUUGGUCUGAUAUAUUUUUUGGCCUCAGAGGCACUUCAGCUCGUUGAACAUCUAGGGAACAUCAAUGACUUGUCUAAGAAAACUGAGUUAUUUUUAGUUCUUCCUGUUGCCUUCUUAGAUUCCUGUUUUAUUGUCUGGAUUUUCUCAUCUCUAUCAAAAACUUUAGAGAAGCUUCAGAUGAGGAGAAACAUGGCUAAACUGGACCUGUACCGAAAAUUUACCAAUUCUCUUGCAGUGUCUGUUCUACUCUCCAUUGCCUGGAUUGGCUUUGAGCUAUACUUCAAUGCAACUGACCCACUAAGUGAGCUAUGGCAAGUUGCUUGGAUCAUUCCUGCCUUCUGGACUCUGCUUGCAUACUCACUUCUGGUGGUGAUAUGUGUCCUAUGGGCUCCUUCACGCAACCCAACUAGGUAUGCAUAUUCAGAGGAGAUGGGGGAGGACUUUGAUGAGGAAGGUAUUGCAUUGACAAGCAGUGUCGAUAUUGCGACUAAGCUAGAAAGGAAGGGGCUGGGAGAAGAUCUUGAGGAGGAUAAGCGAGAAUAGAUUCAUAUCACCCUGCACAAAGAAUUCCUGGCUGGAGCAGCAGUAGCAGAACCAGAUCUUUGGCCACUAAAUUACCAGUUAAAAAGAAAGAUAAUGGGUCACCACCACCAUCACCAGCACGGACACAGCCCGUACGACGAUCCGUUAUUGGCGUGUUGUUGUUGCCCUUGCUUCCUUGUGUCUUCUAUUUUCAGAGGAAUUGGCGGAUGCAUAUUCGCUGCUUGUUAUCCUCUUUUGCGUUGCUUUGGAUUUGACGACCACCACCAUCAUCACCACCACCACCACCACUUCCAUUGAUGCUUCUUGGAUUGAUUUAAUUGAAUAUUAUUUAUUGUAUGUCUUUGUUUUAUUUUUUCUGUAACAUCAUUGCUCGAUGAAGGUGGACCAUAGAUUUUUCUUUUUUUAGCAUUGCAUCAUUUGUCAGUGUUGUCGUUUUUGCAUUUAUUCAGUGAGGUCGUUAGAAUCGUCGCUGUCGUAGUACUUAGUGUAGCUAAUGUAAACUCUAUAUUUUCUUCAUUUUAUUAAAAGGCAUUAAUUUAAAAUUUAA
This is a non-coding RNA of Jatropha curcas, 2220 nucleotides long. The record is from RefSeq and is a predicted model, not a curated record. Lineage: Eukaryota; Viridiplantae; Streptophyta; Magnoliopsida; Malpighiales; Euphorbiaceae.